RNAcentral lists this ribosomal RNA (905 nucleotides) under uncultured bacterium. RNAcentral describes it as "bacterial SSU rRNA". It matches the Rfam family "Bacterial small subunit ribosomal RNA", at positions 8 to 916 of the family's 1533-position model. The record is from RNAcentral.
AGAGUUUGAUCCUGGCUCAGGAUGAACGCUAGCGGGAGGCUUAACACAUGCAAGUCGAGGGGUAAAGAGUAGUAAUACUUUGAGACCGGCGGACGGGUGCGUAACGCGUAUGCAACAUACCUUGUGCAGGGGGAUAGCCCGUGGAAACGCGGAUUAAUAUUCCAUAGAUCAGUAAUAUCGCAUGGUAUAACUGGUAAAGUUGAGGCGGCACAAGAUUGGCAUGCGUCUGAUUAGCUAGUUGGUAGGGUAACGGCCUACCAAGGCGACGAUCAGUAGGGGUUCUGAGAGGAUUAACCCCCACACUGGUACUGAGACACGGACCAGACUCCUACGGGAGGCAGCAGUGAGGAAUAUUGGUCAAUGGGCGGAAGCCUGAACCAGCCAUCCCGCGUGAAGGAAGAAGGCCCUACGGGUUGUAAACUUCUUUUCUGUCAGAAGAAUAAGCUCGUCGUGACGAGUGAUGCCGGUAUGACAGGAAUAAGCAUCGGCUAACUCCGUGCCAGCAGCCGCGGUAAUACGGAGGAUGCAAGCGUUAUCCGGAUUUAUUGGGUUUAAAGGGUGCGCAGGUGGUUAAAUAAGUCAGUGGUGAAAGUCUGUCGCUUAACGGUAGGAUUGCCAUUGAUACUGUUUAACUUGAAUAUGGAUGAGGUAGGCGGAAUGUGUAGUGUAGCGGUGAAAUGCAUAGAUAUUACACAGAACACCGAUUGCGAAGGCAGCUUACUAAUCCAUUAUUGACGCUGAGGCACGAAAGCGUGGGGUUCAAACAGGAUUAGAUACCCUGGUAGUCCACGCCGUAAACGAUGAUCACUCGCUGUUUGCGAUAUACAGUAAGCGGCUAAGCGAAAGCGUUAAGUGAUCCACCUGGGGAGUACGAUCGCAAGGUUGAAACUCAAAGGAAUUGACGG